GAUGAACGCUGGCGGCGUGCCUAACACAUGCAAGUCGAACGAAGCGCUUUCCCGGAGGCUUUUCGGAGCGGAAGGGGAAAUGACUGAGUGGCGGACGGGUGAGUAACGCGUGGGCAACCUGCCCCACACUGGGGGACAACAGCCGGAAACGGCUGCUAAUACCGCAUAUGCGCACAGCUCCGCAUGGGGCAGUGCGGAAAGCUCCGGCGGUGUGGGAUGGGCCCGCGUCUGAUUAGCUAGUUGGCGGGGCAGCGGCCCACCAAGGCAGCGAUCAGUAGCCGGCCUGAGAGGGCGGACGGCCACAUUGGGACUGAGACACGGCCCAG
RNAcentral lists this ribosomal RNA (326 nucleotides) under uncultured bacterium. RNAcentral describes it as "bacterial SSU rRNA". It matches the Rfam family "Bacterial small subunit ribosomal RNA", at positions 28 to 334 of the family's 1533-position model. The record is from RNAcentral.